GCAUGGACUAGUGACUAAUUUUUUCUCAGUUUCUCAUGGUCCACUGUAGAUUGAAGCGCAUUUUUCAUGCAUUUCUUGUACCUCAUGGUCAUAGGGAGAGUUCAAAACCCACAACAAUAUCCUCUCUGAUGCCUCCAUCAUUGCAGCAAACAAAAAAAAGACCUAACGGCAGGUGGCGGCAAGGAGAAGGGGAGGAGGUCGGCAUGCUCUGGACGGCUCAAGAUAGAGAAGGAAAACACCUGAGGGA
RNAcentral lists this long non-coding RNA (247 nucleotides) under Elaeis guineensis (African oil palm). RNAcentral describes it as "long non-coding RNA (EGUI_LNC018786)". Lineage: Eukaryota; Viridiplantae; Streptophyta; Magnoliopsida; Arecales; Arecaceae. The record is from RNAcentral.